GACGAAGGGGGCUAGCGUUGUUCGGAAUUACUGGGCGUAAAGCGAGUGUAGGUGGUUGUCCAAGUUGGAUGUGAAAGCCUUGAGCUUAACUCAAGAAAUGCAUUCAGGACUGGGCGGCUAGAGGACCGGAGAGGAUAGUGGAAUUCCCAGUGUAGUGGUGAAAUACGUAGAGAUUGGGAAGAACACCAGUGGCGAAGGCGGCUAUCUGGACGGUUUCUGACGCUAAGACGCGAAAGCGUGGGGAGCAAACAGG
Molecule: ribosomal RNA, 253 nt
Filed under: uncultured bacterium
Lineage: Bacteria
Description: partial 16S ribosomal RNA
Rfam family: Bacterial small subunit ribosomal RNA
Source: RNAcentral